This 188-nucleotide unclassified non-coding RNA is filed under the name Trichoderma crystalligenum. Its description in RNAcentral is "partial internal transcribed spacer 2". The record is from RNAcentral. Lineage: Eukaryota; Fungi; Ascomycota; Sordariomycetes; Hypocreales; Hypocreaceae.
CAACACUCGAGCCCCCCCGGGGGCUCGGCGUUGGGGAUCGGCAGCCCCCCGGCCCUCCUUGCGAGGGGCGGGGAGCCGUCCCCGAAAUCCAGUGGCGGUCUCGCCGCAGCCUCCCCUGCGCAGUAGCUUGCACACUCGCACCGGGAGCGCGGCGCGGCCACGCCGUAAAACACACCAAACUUCUGAAA